UACGGAGGGUGCGAGCGUUAAUCGGAAUUACUGGGCGUAAAGCGCGCGUAGGCGGUCUGAUCAGCCGGUUGUGAAAGCCCCGGGCUCAACCUGGGAACGGCAUCCGGAACUGUCAGGCUAGAGUGCAGGAGAGGAAGGUAGAAUUCCCGGUGUAGCGGUGAAAUGCGUAGAGAUCGGGAGGAAUACCAGUGGCGAAGGCGGCCUUCUGGACUGACACUGACGCUGAGGUGCGAAAGCGUGGGUAGCAAACAGGAUUAGAUACCUGGGUA
Molecule: ribosomal RNA, 269 nt
Filed under: uncultured prokaryote
Description: partial 16S ribosomal RNA
Rfam family: Bacterial small subunit ribosomal RNA
Source: RNAcentral